GAAGAUACUCCUCGCUCCCAGCGCCUGCCUUCCCCAGGCGUCCGUCCGUGUGCCCGUCUCCGCCUUUCCGCCUCCGAAGAGCGCUCAUCACUGGCUGGAGACAGAGCCGGGCACCAAGGAGCGACAGGAUCCCGAGGAGAGAGAGAGAAGGCAGCGAGGGAAGGAGGACCCCGGCAGGCAGCAGCAUGAAAUUCAGCCCAGCGCACUACCUGCUGCCUCUCCUGCCCGCGCUGGUCCUCAGCACCAGACAGGACUAUGAAGAGCUAGAAAAGCAGCUGAAAGAAGUCUUUAAGGAGCGAAGCACCAUUCUUCGUCAGCUGACAAAGACAUCAAGAGAACUUGAUGGAAUUAAAGUCAGUCUUCAGUCCUUAAAAAACGAUGAGCAUUCUGCCAAAAUUGAUGUUCAGAAGCUUCUGGAAUUAGGACAGAAACAAAGAGAAGAAAUGAAGUCUCUUCAGGAGGCCCUGCAAAAUCAGCUUAAGGAGACAUCAGAGAAAGCAGAAAAACACCAGGCUACUAAAUCAAUAGCAACAGCUCAGGCCUCUCCUGUCGUCAUGGUAACAUCAGUGCAGUACAAAAGCCCUGCUAGAAUGAGAAGUAAUGGGAAUGAAAAGUUCCAGGCUUCAAGAGGCUAUGCUGACUCUGGGAAAUUGCUCUGUUUCUCCCUAAAAAUACUUUGUUCCAAAUUGGCACCAGUUAUAACUAGCAGGAACUAUAGAUCUGAAUUCCUACAAGCAGUCACCAAAUGUAAUUAUUUGAGUUUGGACUUACAAGCUUUACAUUUGACCCUUCAAGUGGUACCCAGGGUUGGGGCACCGAGUACGUCAAUGUAUUAACUCAUCUUUGCUGGUGGGCACAUUUGUCAUCGGCUGGCACCUGGUAUAUGACUGCAUUUUUAAUUUAGGCUCUCACAAAUCCCUCAAAGUUACGAAGGCGUUGUAAAAUAUAUGUCUCAGGGAAACCUAAAACCAAGAAGCAUGUUAUAUAUUUUAUAAUUUUAUUAUUUUUAGGCUAACUUAAUUUCCCAUUUUAUUAUUCCCAUAAUAAAAAUUUUAUUAUUUUUAGGCUAACUUAAUUUCCCAUGGUUGCAUGCAUGCAUGUUUGAUAUAAAAAUUAUAAAAUACAGGAACAUAGAAAAUAGUAUGUUUUAUUAUUUUACUGUGGGAAAAAAGUAGUCAGAAUUUAUGGGCAUAUCUAAUAAAUAUAUUCCUGACCCUUCUAUAUAAAUAAUAUGGGGUGUUUUUCUUUCCACUUAGUAUACAUAUGCAAUUUUUCAUGGUACCAAAAGUUCUGUGUAAAUAUCAUAUUAACAACUGCCUAUUUGUAACACCUUCCCCUAAUGUGAAGAACAAAAUAUGUAUAUAUUUGUAUAUAUACAAAUAUAUAAUAUAUAAACGUGUGUAUAUAAUUAUAUAAUAUAUAAAAUAUGUAUUUGCAUUAUAUUAAAUAUUAAUAAAUUAUAAUAUAUGCAUUUAUAUAUUAUAUACCUUAUAGAUAUAUAAUAUAUAAAUAUGUAUAUUAUGUAUUUGUGUGUGUA
This 1537-nucleotide small RNA is filed under the name Pongo abelii (Sumatran orangutan). RNAcentral describes it as "processed transcript". Lineage: Eukaryota; Metazoa; Chordata; Mammalia; Primates; Hominidae. The record is from RNAcentral.